RNAcentral lists this ribosomal RNA (373 nucleotides) under uncultured prokaryote. RNAcentral's name for it is "bacterial SSU rRNA". It matches the Rfam family "Bacterial small subunit ribosomal RNA", at positions 524 to 896 of the family's 1533-position model. The record is from RNAcentral.
UACGAAGGGGGCUAGCGUUACUCGGAAUUACUGGGCGUAAAGGGCGCGUAGGCGGCUCUGUAAGUCAGGCGUGAAAUUCCUGGGCUCAACCUGGGGGCUGCGCUUGAGACUGUGGGGCUAGAGGAUGGAAGAGGGUCGUGGAAUUCCCAGUGUAGAGGUGAAAUUCGUAGAUAUUGGGAAGAACACCGGUGGCGAAGGCGGCGACCUGGUCCAUUACUGACGCUGAGGCGCGACAGCGUGGGGAGCAAACAGGAUUAGAUACCCUGGUAGUCCACGCCGUAAACGAUGUGCGCUGGAUGUUGGGGCCCUUAGGGUCUCAGUGUCGUAGCUAACGCGGUAAGCGCACCGCCUGGGGAGUACGGCCGCAAGGUUG